Cynoglossus semilaevis (tongue sole) is the source of this 361-nucleotide long non-coding RNA. RefSeq lists it as uncharacterized. The transcript is spliced from 5 exons. The record is from RefSeq and is a predicted model, not a curated record. NCBI's taxonomy places the organism in Eukaryota, Metazoa, Chordata, Actinopteri, Pleuronectiformes, Cynoglossidae.
CCUUAUAAAGAGAGCGCGAUCGCAGAGACCGGGCAUCAGCUACUACAUUUUCCUGUACCAGAUUUUCUACCGCACCUGUCGACGAGGCAACAUGAGUGGCAGAUCAGAGGAGAAGAGGGGGGGUCCUGACGACGAGUGCCAAGAACGUGGUCAGUGUAACGCUGAUAAGGCAAAGGGAAAAGGAGGAUGUGAGGACAAGGGACCAGGGGACAAAGGUCAAGGUCAAGGAUGUGGCCGUGGAGCGGAGAUGAAAAAGGAGCACUGUGGUGGCCGCGGUGGAGGCCCCCCCAAGGACAAAUGAACCAAAUGUCACUGAACGUCAUUGAAUAGAAAUAUCUAAUAAAAUGAACCUGGAAAUAUA